GACGGAGGAUGCAAGUGUUAUCCGGAAUCACUGGGCGUAAAGCGUCUGUAGGUGGUUUAAUAAGUCAACUGUUAAAUCUUGAGGCUCAACCUCAAAAUCGCAGUCGAAACUAUUAGGCUAGAGUAUAGUAGGGGUAAAGGGAAUUUCCAGUGGAGCGGUGAAAUGCAUAGAGAUUGGAAAGAACACCGAUGGCGAAGGCACUUUACUGGGCUAUUACUAACACUCAGAGACGAAAGCUAGGGUAGCAAAUGGG
Molecule: ribosomal RNA, 253 nt
Filed under: uncultured bacterium
Lineage: Bacteria
Description: partial 16S ribosomal RNA
Rfam family: Bacterial small subunit ribosomal RNA
Source: RNAcentral